CUGCUGGGCGGUGGGACGGGAGGAGGAAGAAACCCUCCAGUUUGCCAGACGUUUUACACACAUUUUCUCACAAAGAUCCUGUGAGGCAACAAGCUGGAGGCUGCGAGGAGGGGCACGGACACACUGAAAGCAGAGUCAGGGAAAGGGCAGGACGUGGGUCUGAGCCAGGAGGGCCUGGGCCCUGCACAGUGACCCUGGCUUGUCCCCAAGAGUACUCUGACUGUGGCUCACUCAAGAAAGUCAUCUUCAGGGCACCUGCUGCCCGGGUGAGUGGGGCUCUGCCUGGGGGAUGGGAGGAGAUGAAAGCCUUUGGGUGUCUAGAGGCUGAGGCAGAGACGGGGGAGGCUGUCCCAAGC
This 356-nucleotide long non-coding RNA is filed under the name Equus caballus (horse). Its description in RNAcentral is "lncRNA (ENSECAG00000051674.1)". Lineage: Eukaryota; Metazoa; Chordata; Mammalia; Perissodactyla; Equidae. The record is from RNAcentral.